GGGCGUGUCCCGUGCGCGGGAUGCGGCUGCCGGCGGCGGUGCGGGAGCGGGUGGCGGCGGUGCACGGCGGCGUGGGGCUGCUGGAGCGCCUGCGGCUGUACGACGGCUGGGCCGCCUGCUAUGAGCAGGUACCGGGCCGGGGAGCCGGAGGGAUGUUCCGCUCCCCGGCGCCGCUGACCGCCGUGUCCCGCAGGAUGUGGCGGCUCUGGAGUACCGGGCACCGCACCUGGCCGCCGCUUCGCUCGCCUUCGCCUUCCCCGCGCCGCCCGCCGAGGCGCGACUUCUCGACGUGGCCUGUGGCACCGGGCUUGUAGCGCGGGAGGUACCGGGCGGGAUGGGGAUGGGGAGGGGGAAGCGGCGAGGGGAGAUAACGGGGCCGUCUGUCCCCGCAGCUCCACCGCCGCGGCUUCCGCUGCCUGCACGGCGUGGACGGCAGCGUGGGGAUGCUGGAGCGGGCGCGGAGCACCGGGCUCUACCGGGAGCUGCAGCAGUGCGUCCUGGGCAGGGAGCCCCUGCCCGCGCCCGCAGGUAACGGGCCGACACCGGUGGGGAGGGGCUCCUCCAGAGGGUCCCCCCGGUAAUCCACGCGUGUCCCCCCAGAGCACUAUGACGCCGUGACCGUGGUGGGGGCCCUGGGCGACGGGCAGGUGCCAAGCGCGGCCGUGCCGGAGCUGCUGCGUGUCACCAAGCCGGGAGGCUUUCUCUGCCUGACAACCAGGAGCAACCCCUCGAACCUGCGGUACAAGGCAGAGCUGGAGGCGGCGCUGGAGGAGCUGGAGAGGCAGGGAGCCUGGCAGAAGGUGCUGGCGCAGGAGGUGGAGCGCUGGGAGAAGGCCACCUCCGAGGAGGAGAGCACCCGGGGCACCGGCUACAUCUCUGGCGUGGUCUAUGUCUAUCGGAAAUGCCCCGUGCCCCGCCUCGAGGAGGGCUGAGAGCCGAUGGGCUCUGGGCUGGGUGUGAGCGCUUGGCCCCUUGUGAAACCCAGUCCCGGAGCAGGGCAGCUGCUGGGGGGUGACAGCAUUUUGGGGAGUCUCCACAUUCCCUUCCCUGGCUCCUUCCCCCUGAGGAGUGGGCCCUGGAGACCUUGCCUGCUUCUCAGCAUGGGGACGGGCUCCUGGGCUCUGACGUUCAGGUGCUGUCCCCAACACCGUGAUGUCUCACAGACCCACCUGGCUGUCCAGAGCCAUCUCCAGUCCAGGAUGUCUUCUCCCACAUGCCCACCUCUCAGCCCUCAUCGUCAAAAUCUGGAUCCUUCUUCAUCUUCCCCAGUCCAGACCUCCAUGGUCUUUACUUGGGGACUGCUGGAGGAAGGUCCUGUGGUUUCCCAUCCUUGUACCCCCCAGGAGUUAACUCAGCGCACCCUGAGGUACAAGAGACCUCCACACCCAGACCAGGAGCUGCUGUGCCAAGAUGACUCCCAGCCGGAGAACUUUUCCAAGUGCCACGUCGGCCUUUCAUCCUGCAGCAGCUGCUUUUCCUACAGCUUUGUAGUUAAUGGUCUGGUUGGGAAAUGAGGCUGGAAGGGACUUGAGGAGCCGCCCAGCAUCUCCUGCCCAGCCUGUUCCCCAAGCCCCUUGCCAGGCUGCCUCUACUCUUCCUCCUCUGCUGCUCCCUUGGGAAGUUUUUUACCCAAAUCUCUUGCUGGGAUAUUUCUUUUUUUCUGCCUGUUCCCCCAGACCUGUUCCUGCUCGUCCUGUUCCCAUGGCCCUGGGGAACAGGUUACUUCCUUCCCCUCAGGAGCUCUCGUGGCUGUGUCUAUUCCCAUCUCCCACCCGGAGCAUCCCACACCUCCCAAACUCGUGCUUCCAAUGGCUCUUGUCACUCCUCCACAUUGUCCCGCCCCCAGGCCUCGGGAUGCCCGCACCCAUCGUGGGUAGCUGCCCUGCUCCCUUCUCCACCCUCUUUGUCCCCAGCACUGUCCCCUGAGCAGCUGGGGCUUGUGGCUGAUCCCAUCCCUGUGCUUGGCUGUUGAAUAAACCCCUUGCCUGCCCACUGCA
Long non-coding RNA from Strigops habroptila (Kakapo), 1997 nucleotides. Lineage: Eukaryota; Metazoa; Chordata; Aves; Psittaciformes; Psittacidae. The record is from Ensembl.